GACGAACGCUGGCGGCGCGCCUAACACAUGCAAGUCGAACGGGCGAGAGAGAGCUUGCUUUCUCAAGCGAGUGGCGAACGGGUGAGUAACGCGUGAGGAACCUGCCUCAAAGAGGGGGACAACAGUUGGAAACGACUGCUAAUACCGCAUAAGCCCACGACCCGGCAUCGGGUAGAGGGAAAAGGAGCAAUCCGCUUUGAGAUGGCCUCGCGUCCGAUUAGCUAGUUGGUGAGGUAACGGCCCACCAAGGCGACGAUCGGUAGCCGGACUGAGAGGUUGAACGGCCACAUUGGGACUGAGACACGGCCCAGACUCCUACGGGAGGCAGCAGUGGGGAAUAUUGCACAAUGGGGGAAACCCUGAUGCAGCGACGCCGCGUGGAGGAAGAAGGUCUUCGGAUUGUAAACUCCUGUUGUUGAGGAAGAUAAUGACGGUACUCAACAAGGAAGUGACGGCUAACUACGUG
RNAcentral lists this ribosomal RNA (466 nucleotides) under uncultured bacterium. RNAcentral describes it as "partial 16S ribosomal RNA". It matches the Rfam family "Bacterial small subunit ribosomal RNA", at positions 28 to 507 of the family's 1533-position model. The record is from RNAcentral.